This 497-nucleotide ribosomal RNA is filed under the name uncultured bacterium. RNAcentral describes it as "partial 16S ribosomal RNA". It matches the Rfam family "Bacterial small subunit ribosomal RNA", at positions 28 to 507 of the family's 1533-position model. The record is from RNAcentral.
GAUGAACGCUGGCGGCGUGCCUAAUACAUGCAAGUCGAGCGAACGGACGAGAAGCUUGCUUCUCUGAUGUUAGCGGCGGACGGGUGAGUAACACGUGGAUAACCUACCUAUAAGACUGGGAUAACUUCGGGAAACCGGAGCUAAUACCGGAUAAUAUUUUGAACCGCAUGGUUCAAAAGUGAAAGACGGUCUUGCUGUCACUUAUAGAUGGAUCCGCGCCGCAUUAGCUAGUUGGUAAGGUAACGGCUUACCAAGGCAACGAUGCAUAGCCGACCUGAGAGGGUGAUCGGCCACACUGGAACUGAGACACGGUCCAGACUCCUACGGGAGGCAGCAGUAGGGAAUCUUCCGCAAUGGGCGAAAGCCUGACGGAGCAACGCCGCGUGAGUGAUGAAGGUCUUCGGAUCGUAAAACUCUGUUAUUAGGGAAGAACAUAUGUGUAAGUAACUGUGCACAUCUUGACGGUACCUAAUCAGAAGGCCACGGCUAACUACGUG